GACGUAGGGCGCGAGCGUUUGUCCGGAUUAUUGGGCGUAAAGAGCUCGUAGGCGGCUUGUCGCGUCGUUCGUGAAACCUGCAGCUCAACUGCAGGCUUGCGGUCGAUACGGGCAGGCUAGAGUUCGGUAGGGGAGACUGGAAUUCCUGGUGUAGCGGUGAAAUGCGCAGAUAUCAGGAGGAACACCGGUGGCGAAGGCGGGUCUCUGGGCCGAUACUGACGCUGAGGAGCGAAAGCGUGGGGAGCGAACAGG
RNAcentral lists this ribosomal RNA (252 nucleotides) under uncultured bacterium. RNAcentral describes it as "partial 16S ribosomal RNA". It matches the Rfam family "Bacterial small subunit ribosomal RNA", at positions 524 to 776 of the family's 1533-position model. The record is from RNAcentral.